GUAGGUGGCAAGCGUUGUCCGGAAUUAUUGGGCGUAAAGCGCGCGCAGGCGGUUCUUUAAGUCUGAUGUGAAAGCCCACGGCUCAACCGUGGAGGGUCAUUGGAAACUGGAGAACUUGAGUACAGAAGAGGAAAGCGGAAUUCCACGUGUAGCGGUGAAAUGCGUAGAGAUGUGGAGGAACACCAGUGGCGAAGGCGGCUUUCUGGUCUGUAACUGACGCUGAGGCGCGAAAGCGUGGGGAGCAAACAGGAUUAGAUACCCUGGUAGUCCACGCCGUAAACGAUGAGUGCUAAGUGUUAGGGGGUUUCCGCCCCCCUUAGUGCUGCAGCUAACGCAUUAAGCACUCCGCCUGGGAGUACGGCUGCAAGGCUG
RNAcentral lists this ribosomal RNA (372 nucleotides) under uncultured organism. RNAcentral describes it as "partial 16S ribosomal RNA". It matches the Rfam family "Bacterial small subunit ribosomal RNA", at positions 527 to 896 of the family's 1533-position model. The record is from RNAcentral.